UACCAGCACCCCGAGUGGUCGGGACGUUUAUUGGGCCUAAAGCAUCCGUAGCCGGUUCUACAAGUCUUCCGUUAAAUCCACCUGCUUAACAGAUGGGCUGCGGAAGAUACUAUAGAGCUAGGAGGCGGGAGAGGCAAGCGGUACUCGAUGGGUAGGGGUAAAAUCCGUUGAUCCAUAGAAGACCACCAGUGGCGAAGGCGGCUUGCCAGAACGCGCUCGACGGUGAGGGAUGAAAGCUGGGGGAGCAAACCGG
This 253-nucleotide ribosomal RNA is filed under the name uncultured bacterium. RNAcentral describes it as "partial 16S ribosomal RNA". It matches the Rfam family "Archaeal small subunit ribosomal RNA", at positions 474 to 727 of the family's 1478-position model. The record is from RNAcentral.